RNAcentral lists this ribosomal RNA (738 nucleotides) under Psychrobacter sp. RNAcentral describes it as "bacterial SSU rRNA". It matches the Rfam family "Bacterial small subunit ribosomal RNA", at positions 724 to 1478 of the family's 1533-position model. Lineage: Bacteria; Pseudomonadati; Pseudomonadota; Gammaproteobacteria; Moraxellales; Moraxellaceae. The record is from RNAcentral.
AGCCUCUGGCAUAUACUGACAUGAGCUCGAAGCGUGGUAGCAACAGAUAGAUACUGUAGUCACGCGUAACCGAUGUCUACUAGUCGUUGGUCCCUGAGACUUAGUGACGCAGCUAACGCAAUAAGUAGACCGCCUGGGGAGUACGGCCGCAAGGUUAAAACUCAAAUGAAUUGACGGGGGCCCGCACAAGCGGUGGAGCAUGUGGUUUAAUUCGAUGCAACGCGAAGAACCUUACCUGGUCUUGACAUAUCUAGAAUCCUGCAGAGAUGCGGGAGUGCCUUCGGGAAUUAGAAUACAGGUGCUGCAUGGCUGUCGUCAGCUCGUGUCGUGAGAUGUUGGGUUAAGUCCCGCAACGAGCGCAACCCUUGUCCUUAGUUACCAGCGGGUUAAGCCGGGAACUCUAAGGAUACUGCCAGUGACAAACUGGAGGAAGGCGGGGACGACGUCAAGUCAUCAUGGCCCUUACGACCAGGGCUACACACGUGCUACAAUGGUAGGUACAGAGGGCAGCUACACAGCGAUGUGAUGCGAAUCUCAAAAAGCCUAUCGUAGUCCAGAUUGGAGUCUGCAACUCGACUCCAUGAAGUAGGAAUCGCUAGUAAUCGCGGAUCAGAAUGCCGCGGUGAAUACGUUCCCGGGCCUUGUACACACCGCCCGUCACACCAUGGRARKKGAUUGCACCAGAAGUGGAUAGCUUAACCUUCGGGGGAGCGUUCACCACGGUGUGGUGAUGAUCKG